This is a long non-coding RNA of Juglans microcarpa x Juglans regia, 1109 nucleotides long. RefSeq lists it as uncharacterized. The record is from RefSeq and is a predicted model, not a curated record. Lineage: Eukaryota; Viridiplantae; Streptophyta; Magnoliopsida; Fagales; Juglandaceae. The transcript has 2 exons.
GUUGGAGAAACGGGACGGUUGGUAGGAGUAUAGACCAUGUGGCUUGGCCUAUACUCCAACCAACCAUCCCAAGCAUAGACUAAAGCAUUUUGAAAAUUGAUCCAAAGCCAUAUCAAACAGAACAAUCAGCACAACAAGCCAUUUCACACCAUGUUGAUAACAAUUUAUAUUUUAGUAUAAUGACUUUAUCAUAGAGCUAUAUAUACUCUAGCAAUGAAAUCUGAUCUUUAAGAAUUAAUUUGACCUUUGUGGUUCUGGGACACUGUCUGCAAAAACAAUUUAAACUUCCUCGUCUUUAGAAGAUUUAAAACUAGUUGAUACAGAGUAGUUAAGGAUCCGCUAUGGGAAUCUAAUAGGCAUUUUGGGGUUUUCUUAAGGGUAUGAAGGCUGCAGCCAAAUAAUGUUGACUUGAAAUGAUCUUCAUUUUGACUCACACUGCUUUUAAAAAUGGAUGAAUUAAUGAUAUCCCAACUCGCCCUUGUUGGUCACUGAUGAUUACCUUGGAUUGCAGGAUGCUUUGGUGAGACUUAAUGAUGUCAUUAUACAAGAGAAAUCAGAUAGGAAAUCCAAAAUAAUAUAUCUCAGUUAUUAAAGAUUUUAAUGAUGUCAUUAAAGAAGUGCCAAGGUGAGACUUAAUGAUGUCAUUAUACAAGAGAAAUCAGUUUCUGGUCCAUUCCUUUAGUUCAAGUUCUUACCUGGGUUCAAUUUUCAUUUAGAUGGGAAAAGAUAUUGAAGUUUCAUGUAGCAGUGAGAGAACAUACAGGCACUUGUGCAGCAGUGGGAGGAAACAACUCUGGGGGGCCAUCAUAUUUGCCAAAACCUGUCAACUCCAUUCAAUGCAUCCAAAUCAGAGUGAAGAAACUCUUCCAGUAAUCACUGAAGCAGUCAACAGAAAACUGGAUAAGAUGAUCAUAGAAGGAGAUUUUCUAGUGCUAACCACAGCAUUUCAAAAACGCCCACAUAAACUUCGUUUCUCAUAGACCAUAUAUGUUGAUACCAAUCACUGACAUUUGCUAAUUGCUGGAAUUUCCAUCGACAAAAACUCAUGAUAUCUCAGUUGGUGUUGUUUUAGCUAUAAAUUAUUCUUAGGGGUUCUAGCUGAUUAUUCA